This is a long non-coding RNA of Epinephelus fuscoguttatus (brown-marbled grouper), 3835 nucleotides long. RefSeq lists it as uncharacterized. The record is from RefSeq and is a predicted model, not a curated record. NCBI's taxonomy places the organism in Eukaryota, Metazoa, Chordata, Actinopteri, Perciformes, Serranidae. The transcript has 3 exons.
GACACAUGUUGACAUUAAUUAUUAGUGGAAAAUAGUUGUGUUUCGAAGUAGCCCAAAUAUAUUUUUUAACUGGCUUCUCCAAUAUAGACUAUUACAGGUGGGAAAAAAAUCAAUACAGCUUAGUAUCGCAAUAUUUUGUGUAGAAAUAUUAUAUCAAUACUUGGUAGCAUUUUUUUAUUAUAAAAGUUAUUAAUAUUACAGUACAACUUAAACUUUUAGUAGCCUACCAGAAUGAUAAAAUAAACUGCUUUUUCAGAUUAAUUUUGCUGCAAUAAAAAUGACUGAAGUGAGAUGAACAAACUAAAAACUUUAUUUCACUAGAUAAAACAGAUGUUGACAAAGCUCUUCUUUGAGGACAUCAUUUUCAGUUAAAAAUAGGUAAUAAACGGCAAGAUAUAACAAUAGACGUUUCUGCAUUUGUCAACAUAUUGCUAAACCUUUAAAACCGCAAUGAUAUUGUAACAUGACUUAAGUAUCCUAUUGUAUCGUAGGGCCUCUAGUGAUUCCCAUCCCUACUAUAUAUUGUGUUGAACAAAAACAAGUGGAAGCUAAGUGCACAGUGGAUAUAUAGGUAAAUGCCUUUAAUUUUUGGGAAAGCUUAUCCAGGGUGUCUGCAGGUAUCAGAGAGCUUUAAUGCUUUUAAAGACCUGAUCAAUACACCUUUUAACCAAAGUUAGGACAUAUUUUUGGACAAAUCAUGGUUUACUUAUUGAAGUAUCGCAGGUAAGCAUUGCAAGCAAGUAGUAAAGAUGUGGUCUUUGGCAGAGGUUAGUGUUAUGUAGAAAUAUGGUUAUCAUAGUGAGUAAAGUCAAUCUACAUUUGCCAACAGGUAAGUGCAAGUAUGAAGUAAAAUGACAGUAUAAUAGUUUUUGUUUUUUUGUUUUUUAAAUUAACAUUAGAAAUGUGGACUUUUACAUAGAAAAGCUUCAGUCAUUUUCACCAAAAGAAAUUAAAAAAUUGGUAAAUUAGAUAAAAAUGUCUAAAGUAGUUCAGACCUCACAAAUUCAAACUUAAGACUAUUUAAUGACUUUGAAGGCCUUAAUGUUGUAACACUGAAUUUAAGACAUUUUAAGACUUUUUAAGGACCUGCACCCUGUAAUCACCUGUUAAGAUUGCUAUAAAUCUCUAUGAAACAGCCUGACGCUAUUUUGGUAUUCAUACAAUACUAGCCUUUAUAGAGUUUGUGCAUUUUAUUUGAUAUUUAUAUGGCUUUAAUAUUGUAAUGCAUAAAACAUUACAUUUUUAAAAUUAUAUUUCCAGUAGAUUUUUUGCUGGACUGCAGCAACUUUAAAUGAGCAUAAUGUUGCAGUACAGCUUCCAACCGACAGCGGCAGCACUGAGGUCAUUCAGCACAGGUGAGCAAGGGAGAAAAUGGCGUCGAGCGCCAUUAUUGAUUUCACUGCGGUCGCAAACACUUCAGUGGGAAUUAGCUGAGGUUUCGUCACAUUGUACUAACCUGGUACAUACUUUCUCCUCCUGAUAUAUCAUUAAGAAGUCCAGCUUGCCUCGACUGACUUCCCGUUUUCUUCCGUCGAAGUAUUUAAUGUGCACAGGAAGCUUAAACAGGUUGGUGACUUCAACGGUCCUGAUUAGGACGAUGUUAGCUAACUUUUAACAGGUGUUUCUUCCCUUUAGAGAUGCCUCAUAAAGUAGAGCAAAGUAUCUGCUUUAUGGCCACAUUUGGUGCUUAGAGAUAUACUUACAUUUUGUAAGGUACACCUGUCUAACUGGGGGUCAGCUUAGUUGAAAAAUAUCGACGUUUAUCUCCAUCCGUUCAGAGUGACGACGAAGUUUGUUACCUCGUCAAAUGAUGCUAGUGUUUAGGUUACCGUUACCCUCCGCCUACUGAAGUCAGAGCACAUCUCCAAUGUCUUAAAAUGUGUCUUUGUAUGAGUUAACCAGCGUUGACAAUGCUGCUAAAGAUACACUUGUUCCCUGUCUUACUGGGGUUCGCGUUAGCUUAACGUUAGAUAAUAAUAUCGACGUUUAUCUCCAUCCGUUCAGAGUGAUUAGCCCUGGUGUUACGACGAAGUCUGUUCCCUGGUGGAAUGACGCUAACGCUAGUGUUUAGGUUACCGUUAGCCACCGCCUGAAGACGUAAAAACACAUCUCCCAUGACGCAACAUUUGUCUUGUUUUGUCCUGUUCGUAUAAUAUAUUUUGUUUGAUAGCAGCCACGUACACAUCCAAGAAGCAAAUAGGCUUUGUUUAGAGUUUGUUAAGUUGGUAAACUCAGUGACUUCACUGUGAGGACAGGUGCUCUGAGGGGCAGCCUGCGUUGACAGGUGCUGCUGUUUGGCUAGCUCUAACAAGCUAACUGCUCAUUAAACAACAACGUUUUCGCAACCUGCUAUAUUUUUACACAUACUAUAUUAAUACGAUACCUGUUCGGUAAGAAGCAAAAAUAACCUUUUGUUAAUGGUGCAAGUCAUGUUUUCUGUCUCACAGAAAGUAGAGUUUCCCUGCACUGACAGUGCCACUAAAUGGUUUCUUGUUAUUAGCAUACAGUUGCAUCUUCGUUUAUUUCCUUGUUUAACCAAAUGCAUGUAUCUCCACAUUCUUAAUCCUCUUUCAUUUCUGUCCUCUCCUAAUAACAGAGGCAGGAGCUGAUGAUGUUAUACCUCCAGCUUCCCACUCUGACCGGAGAGCAGCCAGCCACAGCCCGUGACUUCAUCCAGCCCAUAAACUGCUGCCGCUGUGAUUGCUGAAGGCCCAGGCCACUAACGGGCAGCUGGGACGCCAUGUGUUUGAACAGCCCCCAGAUCUUCUACAUGUAUCUCCGACCAGCACCCAGCAGAUGAAUGCAGAGACCACCAGUGAACCAAUCAUUUUUUUAUUUUCCUCUUUUUAUGGCCGAGACCACAGCCUUACUGCUGUAGGUCGAACUAAAUGGAAAGUAUCAGUUAAAUGAAAACAGUCUCAGAAAAGUCACUCAAUAGGAAUUAUCAGCCGAGUAUUGUUCUUGUUUCCUGUCUCUUUAUGGGUAUCAUUUAGAUGAUCACAUGUUCACAUCUCUACAGUAAUAUAGAUAUACUGUGGAUUUGCUUCAUUUAAAAUAAAGAUUCUGAAGUCUCUUCGCUCACUGUUAAUCAGAGACCGACUUCAAACAUUAACCCCAAACUUUGAACAUUUCACGGAAUUUUUUCCUGCUUGAAUACAAAUGCUUAACUCAGUUUUCUGUGCAGGUACAAAACUGAAGUCAGUGUCCUAAAUUCAGAAACACUUUUCACUCUAGAAUUGCAGUUUAAGAGUCUUUAGUAGAAGUGUGUUAAAGUUUACUUUUCUAAAACUGCUUCUCAUUAACUCUCCCCCUCAAGCUCACAGCCCAGAACAUUAGUGGUGAGGAGGGCGGACUUGCAAGCUUGUUUUCACGCCUGCAUCUAUUAGAGAAGAACCAAAAGCAUCGAAGUAAGAAUUAAGAUGUAAGGUGAAGAGUGGAAGAAAAACCAGUCGGGAUUUAUUUGCCGUCUAGCCAUAAAAUGGAUGUAAAACCUGCUGGCACUUGGAAGUUGUUUUCAGGGAGGAUGAAUCAGCUGCAAUCGGAGUUCCUAAAACUUUGAUGUGAAUUAUAUUCAUCUCAGUAUACUGAUUUGCUAUGAUUAGAAUAACAACAGACAGAACACGAAAGAACUUGAUAAAAGUGCAUCAUUAUAGCAGCACAGGGAUAUCGAAAGCAAAAAUAUAAUACAAAAUUAUAAUAAUGAAAGCAGGAUGUCAAUAAAUCAUGUGAUAAGCUGUAGGAUGAGACACAUUUGAAAAGCAGAGACAGAUGCUCGUUACACUCCGCUAUCUGAGCAUGAAAAGGUUGGCAUACGUAAAAAAUGAAUAAAAAUGUA